Molecule: unclassified non-coding RNA, 237 nt
Filed under: uncultured fungus
Lineage: Eukaryota; Fungi
Description: sequence contains ITS2
Rfam family: 5.8S ribosomal RNA (bases 1-52)
Source: RNAcentral
AACGCACAUUGCGCCCCCCGGCACUCCGGGGGGCAUGCCUGUCUGAGCGUCCGCGCCCCCCUCGAGCGCGACCUGCCUCGGUCUUGGGCCGCGCCGCGGCGGCGGGUCCCAAUCACAGCGGCGGGUCCUGGCGGCCCCGGGCGAAGCAGCACCUCGCAGCCCGGGCGUUGCCCGCGACCGGCCGAAACCCCUCCGAUAGUCGACCUCAGAUCAGGCAGGGAUACCCGCUGAACUUAA